RNAcentral lists this ribosomal RNA (383 nucleotides) under uncultured eukaryote. RNAcentral describes it as "partial 18S ribosomal RNA". It matches the Rfam family "Eukaryotic small subunit ribosomal RNA", at positions 592 to 976 of the family's 1831-position model. The record is from RNAcentral.
CAAUAGCGUAUAUUAAAGUUGUUGCAGUUAAAAAGCUCGUAGUUGGAUUUCUGGUAGGAGCGACCGUUCCGAACUUGAUUGUUCGUGUAUUGAGUUGUCUCCAGCCAUCCUUGUGGAGAACUUUUCUUGCAUUAAUUUGUAGGGAUUGGGACCCGCAUCGUUUACUGUGAAGAAAUUAGAGUGUUUAAAGCAGGCAAUCGCUUGAAUACAUUAGCAUGGAAUAAUAAGAUAGGACUUUGGUACUAUUUUGUUGGUUUGCAUACCAAAUUAAUGAUCAACAGGAACAGUUUGAGGAUAUUCGUAUGAACAUGUCAGAGGUGGAAUUCUUGGAUUUUGAUCAGACGAACUACUGCGAAAGCAUUUAUCAAGGAUGUUUUCAUUAA